CCUACGGGCGGCAGCAGUGGGGAAUAUUGGACAAUGGGGGCAACCCUGAUCCAGCCAUGCCGCGUGUGUGAAGAAGGCCCUCGGGUUUUAAAGCACUUUCAGUGAGGAAGAACGCCUGGUGGUUAAUACCCAUCAGGAAAGACAUCACUCACAGAAGAAGCACCGGCUAACUCCGUGCCAGCAGCCGCGGUAAUACGGAGGGUGCGAGCGUUAAUCGGAAUUACUGGGCGUAAAGCGCGCGUAGGUGGCUUGAUAAGCCGGUUGUGAAAGCCCCGGGAUCAACCUGGGAACGGCAUCCGGAACUGUCAAGCUAGAGGGCCGGAGAGGAAGGUAGAAUUCCCGGUGUAGCGGUGAAAUGCGUAGAGAUCGGGAGGAAUACCAGUGGCGAAGGCGGCCUUCUGGACUGACACUGACACUGAGGUGCGAAAGCGUGGGUAGCAAACAGGAUUAGAUACCCGUGUAGGC
This 465-nucleotide ribosomal RNA is filed under the name Vreelandella stevensii. RNAcentral describes it as "partial 16S ribosomal RNA". It matches the Rfam family "Bacterial small subunit ribosomal RNA", at positions 338 to 795 of the family's 1533-position model. Lineage: Bacteria; Pseudomonadati; Pseudomonadota; Gammaproteobacteria; Oceanospirillales; Halomonadaceae. The record is from RNAcentral.